Molecule: ribosomal RNA, 1369 nt
Filed under: uncultured bacterium
Lineage: Bacteria
Description: bacterial SSU rRNA
Rfam family: Bacterial small subunit ribosomal RNA
Source: RNAcentral
GAUGAACGCUUGCGGCGUGCCUAAUACAUGCAAGUCGAGCGAACAGACGAGGAGCUUGCUCCUCUGACGUUAGCGGCGGACGGGUGAGUAACACGUGGAUAACCUACCUAUAAGACUGGGAUAACUUCGGGAAACCGGAGCUAAUACCGGAUAAUAUAUUGAACCGCAUGGUUCAAUAGUGAAAGACGGUUUUGCUGUCACUUAUAGAUGGAUCCGCGCCGCAUUAGCUAGUUGGUAAGGUAACGGCUUACCAAGGCAACGAUGCGUAGCCGACCUGAGAGGGUGAUCGGCCACACUGGAACUGAGACACGGUCCAGACUCCUACGGGAGGCAGCAGUAGGGAAUCUUCCGCAAUGGGCGAAAGCCUGACGGAGCAACGCCGCGUGAGUGAUGAAGGUCUUCGGAUCGUAAAACUCUGUUAUUUAGGGAAGAACAAAUGUGUAAGUAACUAUGCACGUCUUGACGGUACCUAAUCAGAAAGCCACGGCUAACUACGUGCCAGCAGCCGCGGUAAUACGUAGGUGGCAAGCGUUACCCGGAAUUAUUGGGCGUAAAGCGCGCGUAGGCGGUUUUUUAAGUCUGAUGUGAAAGCCCACGGCUCAACCGUGGAGGGUCAUUGGAAACUGGGAAAACUUGAGUAUGUUUGAGGCAGGCGGAAUGCGUGGUGUAGCGGUGAAAUGCUUAGAUAUCACGCAGAACCCCGAUUGCGAAGGCAGCCUGCCAAACCAUGACUGACGCUGAUGCACGAAAGCGUGGGGAUCAAACAGGAUUAGAUACCCUGGUAGUCCACGCAGUAAACGAUGAUCACUAGCUGUUUGCGAUACAGUGUAAGCGGCACAGCGAAAGCGUUAAGUGAUCCACCUGGGGAGUACGCCGGCAACGGUGAAACUCAAAGGAAUUGACGGGGGCCCGCACAAGCGGAGGAACAUGUGGUUUAAUUCGAUGAUACGCGAGGAACCUUACCCGGGUUUGAACGCAUUCGGACCGAGGUGGAAACACCUUUUCUAGCAAUAGCCGUUUGCGAGGUGCUGCAUGGUUGUCGUCAGCUCGUGCCGUGAGGUGUCGGCUUAAGUGCCAUAACGAGCGCAACCCUUGCCACUAGUUACUAACAGGUGAUGCUGAGGACUCUGGUGGGACUGCCAGCGUAAGCUGCGAGGAAGGCGGGGAUGACGUCAAAUCAGCACGGCCCUUACAUCCGGGGCGACACACGUGUUACAAUGGCGUGGACAAAGGGAUGCCACCUGGCGACAGGGAGCGAAUCCCCAAACCACGUCUCAGUUCGGAUCGGAGUCUGCAACCCGACUCCGUGAAGCUGGAUUCGCUAGUAAUCGCGCAUCAGCCAUGGCGCGGUGAAUACGUUCCCGGGCCU